This 369-nucleotide ribosomal RNA is filed under the name Triticum aestivum (bread wheat). RNAcentral's name for it is "partial small subunit ribosomal RNA". The record is from RNAcentral. Lineage: Eukaryota; Viridiplantae; Streptophyta; Magnoliopsida; Poales; Poaceae.
AUGUUCUGCAGCGACCUGAAACUCUUGAACACAUCUGCGGACGGGAGAGAUAACAGGCUCGAGCAGUUCUGCAGCUCGAGCCUAGAUAAGUUGGUGAGCAGCUGCAGUGACCCAAGCAGUGGAAGUUACAGGUCACCGCACCCGCCAAUAGCUAGUUCUCUUAGUGACGAUGGCACAAGCUUAUCUUUGGCAUCUCUCAUCGUCCUCAACUUUGGACAUUGCAUUACUGCAAGUUCCUUAAGUUGUUUCAUUUCUUCAAAUGGUAUGGAUGCGGACUCCAGAUGUUUACAAUCAACAAUUGUUAGGACACGAAGAGUUCCCAUGUACAGUUUUUGCUCCAAAAGGCUCCCUUCCAACGAAGUUAAAUGA